UGUUCUAUCAUAAACAAUAGUUGUUUUCACUUCCCCUCCUUCUCACAUGGAAGAGGAGUGAGAUUCAUCCAUUGGCAUUUAUUUGUGAAAUAGAGUCUUGUCUCUUCAUACAUCAUAUACCAAAUUAACUAUGUUAGCUGCAUUAAUUUUUACAUCCCGUUUAAUUAUCCUGUUUAAAAUUAUGGAUGCUUAUACUGGUAUGAAGGUGUUUUACACUGCCACUGGGUUUCUUUCUGCUAAGGAAAAACAAGCUAUUCUUAUACAGCUCCUAAACUGGAGGUGUACAGCUUUAACUGUACUAAUGUAGUUAGGUCAGCACAACUCUCUAUUGUAAACAAGGUCUAUAUUGCACAGCUAAGGCUAGAUUACUCGGGUUUGCACAAGGUCUGCCUACAGAAUAUGCACAACCAGUGUUACUAGUUGUGUUUUAAUAAAUACUAAUAACACGUGUCUAAUUACGACAGUUCAUCUCGACAUUUCCUGCCUGCCUCUCACAGAAUGACUAAGCGCUUCCCUCUCACCACCGAGCCAAUUGCUGGCUGCACACUAUUAUUAGGGGCAGUCCUGUAUAAUUUUCACAAUUACAGUAUAUGUCAUUUCAUACUUGUGGACUGCCAACAAGAGAGCAGUGUCCAUCCAGAAGAAAAAUACUGCCUGUAAUCACUUUCAAGGGCUGAGAGAGGCAAAUGUUUACUCACAGGCACAGCUUUUCUGACCGUGAAUAGUCCCCGUGCUUUCAAAGGGAUUAAGCCUGCUAAUCAAUGAAAGCAGGAGUCCAAGGACAAGCAACAAGAUUGAUUGAUGCCCGUCCUUGACGUUUCAGGACCAGAACCACUAACAGAUGCUGUAGAGAAGCUCACUGUGCACAUUUUUAAUCCACAUCAUAUACAUGAGUGUAGUAAAUUCAUAAACUGAGGGAGUAGGAUAUUGUCAGCCUGAAUGACACUGAAAGCAUUUGCGUUCACAAAAAAUGUAAUGAUCUCCCUUUUAAUAAAGCAACACAUGAAUAAAGCACCAGCAUAAACUGGGGCUAAAAAUUUAGGAUCAUAAAAUGCUAGAAUAUCCUGAAUUAAAAUGGUCCCACACAAGGAUCAUCCAGUCUAACUCACGGUUCUUCACAGCACUAUCCCCAAGAGUUACACCAUGUGCCUGAGAGUGUUGUCCAGAAGCCUGCUGAACUCUCUCAUGUUUGGUGGUGUCACCACUGCCCUGGAGACCCUGUUUGAUUGCCCAACCACCCUCUGAAUGAUGAACUUUUGUCUAAUAUCCAACCUAAAUCUCUCCUGAAACAGCUUCAGGCCCUGUCACUGUUACCACAGAGAAGAGAUCAAUGUCUGCCUGUCUUCUUCCCCUCAUGAGGCAGCUGUAACUGCAAUGAGGUCUCCCCUCAGUCUCCUCUUCUCCAGGCUGAACAGACCAAGUGAACUCAGAGACUCCUUGUGGCUUCCCCUCAAGGCCGUUCACCAUCUUUGUUGCCCUCCUUUGGACAUUUUCUAAUAGUUUAAUGUCUUCCUUUUAUUGUGGCACCCAAAACUACCCCCAGGACUUGAGGUGAGACCACCCCAGUACACCCUUGCUUGGCUGGUCAUGCUGUGCCUGGUGCCCCCCAGGACAGGGCUGUCCCUCCUGGCUGCCAGGGCGCUGCUGAUUCUUGUUCAGCUUUCUGUUGUUGAUCAGGAUCCCAAGGUCCCUUUUCCAUGGUGCUGCUCUCCAGCAUCUCAUCCCCCAGACCGGCUGUAUAUCCAGAAUUGCCCCACCCCAGGUGCAGAAUCCAGAACUUUUCCUUAUUCCAUUCAUAUGAUUGGUGAUUGCUCAGUCCUCUCAGUCCUUUGUUGAGGUCUCUCUGCAGGGCCUCUGCCCUUGAGGGAGCCAACAGCUCUUCCCAAUUUAGUGUCAUCUGCAGACUUACAUAGUAUCCUAGGGGUAUAUAAGAGUCUUUCUAGCAAAAAUGACUUAAAAAUAGAUUAUUUGGGGCCAUAUUGAAACAGUAAGGCAUCUCCCUCCUGACCAAGACUGUCACAAGCAGCAGCAUACAAUAGAAGGCUAGAUUAGGAGCCAGCAGCCUGAGUUCAAAUCCUUCUGUUCUUGACCUGCUCAGCAGAGUGAAGAGGUCAGUGUAUCCCUCUGUUUCCCUUCCCACUGAAGUUCUUGGUUUCUCCUUUCUGUGUUUUGACCUCUUUGCCACCUUUGACUUUUAUCUUUUUGGAGCCAGACCAUCUUUCCCAGUGUUUCCAUAAAGUUUAGCAGAAUGUGUCUCUGGGUCUUUGUGUGAUUCAACUGAUGCAAUUAUAAUUUGGCAGGAAGAAAAUUAAUUUCCUUUUUUAGGCAAGGAAAUGAUCCCAAAUAUAUGUUAACAUCUGAGAACUGGGUUUCAACAAAUGACUGUUUGCUUCUGUGGCGUCUACUUCAGCAUGCCAUUGACUUCACAGGACGUCUCCUGGGGACUGGAGCUGUGCAUAUGCUGCAGACAACUUUCCUUUGGCUGAAGACUACAGAAAGCUAGACUGGCGUUAACAGCUGCCUGAAGCACAGGUUACAGUAAAGUAUAUCGUGUUCAUAUCAUCGUUACAUACCUUGGAUUCCACUGUAAGCCUGAAGCCUGGGAGUGAGGAGAACUCUUUGGACCAUAAAUACAUCAGCUCGGUGCAAUGAACUAUGUGAAUUUGUCCUUCAGUAAAGGGAAAAGGAGAAACCACUUUCAUUCCACAGUGGUAUUAUUGAGAUUGCUAUAGCGCAAAUCAAGACAGGAUUUUUUCUCUUGUCCCAGAAAACUUGGAGACAUUUCUGUCUGUAACAGAUACUACUGAUAUUCUCAAUACAUGUAUAUAUCUGAGGCAAGGCUAAGUGUAAAUCUUCACUCACAAUCAAACUGAAACAAUAAUUAAUGCGUGUGCUUACAGCUAUGCCUGCAAUAACAGUUCUUUAUUAUUCAAUAUGCAUUUUGUAGAGUAUUGGCAAUUUUCUUUAGGGAGAAUAGAAGAAAAAUUGUAGAAACAAGUAAGAGAUAAUUAUUAGAAACCCAGGGAAAAGAGAACUUCGGCUUUUAUGAUGCUUGGCUACUGUAGAGAGAAAAUGGACCAAAGGCCCAGAGAACCAAAGGUGAGGAGAAAAUAAGGCAUGAUGCUUUCAUGAGGGAAGGACUUGGAAGCAAAAGAAAUGUUUCACCUUCCCUAAUACUGAAUUUUUCAUAUGGCCAAAAUGAGCAUAAGAGGAAAAAAUAAAGCCAGAGGUAGAAAUCCAUCUGGCUGAGAAUGGAUCCAACAGAUUCUUCAUUAUUGUUGUUGUUGUUGAAGUCCAAUACAUAGUUGGAAGAUACAGAUUUUUAAAAAUAAUGCAUAUUUUAAAGUAAUUGUAUCCACAACUACCAGAAGCAAGUUCAGCAUAAAGAAAAAUGCUUCACUGCUUUCCCUAACAAGAAAAAAAAGGGCAUAAUAUAUCUCUGAUUGAAAACACGUCCUCUUUUCUCUCUCAUUUGUUGUCAAAGUCUGACAAACUUAUUUGCAUUCACUUCUUCCAAAAUUUCUGACAGUUUUGUCAGUGGCAGCCAAACCUCUGUGCCUUGAAACACAGCAUUGUCAGAUCAUCCGAGCACAGUCUUAGCUGCACAGUUUACUCUACAAAAAUUGCGAUUAAAUAAACAGAUUCUGAAAAUAGGGCAUUAGGGUGUUUGUUUGCACUUGGAAAUCAUGGUUGUUUUUUAUCUUACCAGAAAAAUUGCCCCGCAAAGCGAUUUCCGACCCUUGAUUCAGCAUGAUGCUUCGGCAGCGUUCCCAAUCCCUGUUAAUCCUGGGCAUAAAAACCACCCGAGGCUACUGCGUGCUGCUGCAGAGCACUACACUGUGGGUCAAAGGGACAGCCCUUCUCACCUUUCUUUACUGCCCUCUAGCAAACAAAUAAUUUUGAGAUGUUGAAAACAUUUGGAGUUAAUAGGAGAGACCCUACCCCCACAUGCAGAGUGUUUCCAGUGAGCAGCACGGGGCUGUGCAGGUUUCACCUGUGCAUUAGCUCAUCCGUGGGCAGUUCCAGCAAGGCUCAGAACAUGAGGCCCCUCUAGCAGGGCUUGCAAAAGCUAAUCCACAAAAUGUUUCUGCUAAUUGAGUCAUGUGCUUGAACAUGUGGAAAUCAGAAACUAGCUGAACCUUUUUAUCUAAUUGCUAAAUUGAGCUUUGUGUACUUCAACUGAAAGUAGCGGAGGGGACCUUCCCACUGCACAACGUAGUUGUUGGACUGUGUGUGGGCUGAAUGGGAAAUUUAAAACAGUGCUGCUGGAGUAUGAAGCCUGCCUCAGCUUCCCGUGGUUACUUCGCAUUAGCGCAGAGCUGUUUCUGUAAAUAUGCAGCCUGAAAAUACUCGGUUACAAACUCCCAUCCGUGCAGAGCUACAACCGGAUUUGCAAAAAUGUGUGGAAAAAAGAGAUGAACAUUUUCAAGAUUCCUUUACUGCUGCUGAAAAUGAAUCAUCUAUACAUAAAAAUUAUGAAAACUCAAAAAAAAGGCACAUUAACAUACAUCUAAAGAAGAACUGGAUAACAAUUAUAUAAAUACCAAGUCUCUACCGAGAUCUAAAAUAUAAUUACAGGCUCAAUUUUCUGACAGAUGAAAGAGACAAUUUUACAGAAAUUUGGUUCUGUCUAUGCCUCAAAGAUACUGAAUAAAACCUUUUUUUUUUCUGUCCUGCCACAGUGCUUCUACUAAUCAGGAUUUUUUUUUUUUUUUUUUUUCCCCAUGACGUCUUUAGUAAUACAGUUGCUACUUGGAGAAUUAUGGCAAUAACAUGAUAUUUCAACCUUGAUGACUAGGUAAAAUUAAAAUAUGGGUUUGGUACAAUAGUUUAGGUUAUUGCAAGUAUAAUGAGGUUUUUUUAAAAAUUAAACUCCUUUUUCAUUUAAGUUAUGUCUUUAUGGUAAAGGCCUACUAAAUUUUUUUGCUACCACUGCCUUGAACCUUGUGACUUUGAAUCCAGUGUGAGGGAAUUUAUUUUGAAAGUAAAACUGAAGACAGUCACCUUAUUUAAAAUGUUUUCUUGAAGGCUUUAUAUACAACAUUUAAGUGUUAGUUUCCUCCUUCAUGAGCAAGUGAGUGAGACAGAACAGGAUUUCAAUGUUCAAAUAAACGUAAUCAGUUCUUAGGACUUGUCACUAAACUUAGAUUUUCCUGUGGA
Molecule: long non-coding RNA, 5160 nt
Organism: Poecile atricapillus (Black-capped chickadee)
Lineage: Eukaryota; Metazoa; Chordata; Aves; Passeriformes; Paridae
Exons: 3
Source: RefSeq, a predicted model, not a curated record